GGUUCUGGAGUAUAUAUUACGUUGAAUUGCAAAUUCGAAGAAGUAGCUUAGGUGCUGCCGGGGCCU
Molecule: transfer RNA, 66 nt
Filed under: Dasycercus cristicauda (Crest-tailed Mulgara)
Lineage: Eukaryota; Metazoa; Chordata; Mammalia; Dasyuromorphia; Dasyuridae
Description: tRNA-Cys
Source: RNAcentral